AGUUGCAUGGAUGAACCACGUAGUCAAAGCCCGCUCUUGUCUGAUCUCAGAAGUUGAGCAGGGUUGGGCCUGGUUAGUACGUGAACGGAAUACUGCUGGGAAUGGCAGGUGCUACAAUUG
This 120-nucleotide ribosomal RNA is filed under the name Periophthalmus magnuspinnatus. The record is from RNAcentral. Lineage: Eukaryota; Metazoa; Chordata; Actinopteri; Gobiiformes; Gobiidae.